RNAcentral lists this long non-coding RNA (464 nucleotides) under Parus major (Great Tit). RNAcentral describes it as "lncRNA (ENSPMJG00000011699.1)". Lineage: Eukaryota; Metazoa; Chordata; Aves; Passeriformes; Paridae. The record is from RNAcentral.
ACUGCUGGCCCCUGCAUGGGGACAUUGGGGACAGUGAACUGCUGGCCCCUGUAUGGGGACAUUGGGGACAGUGAACUGCUGGCCCCUGCAUGGGGACACGGGGACAUUGGGGACAGCAGGGACACUGGAGACACUGGGACACUGGACACCAGUGAGAAGUCCUUGGUGACACAGGACAGAGACACCAGGGACAGGACAGGGGACACAGGGGACACAGGAGAGGGGACACAGGGGACACAGGGGACACAGGGGACACAGGCAAGAGCCUGGGACAUUCCCAGCCCUGGAUCCAGGAUUGUCCCCAGGAUUGUCCCCCCAGAUUGUUCCCUGGGAUUGUCCCCCCAGGACUGUCCCCAGGAUUGUCCCCAGCCUGCCCCAGGAUUGUCCCCAGGAUUGUCCCCAUUGUGUCCCCACUGUGUCCCAGCCUGUCCCCAUUGUGUCCCUCCCUGUCCCCCCCCGUCCCC